CAGGUGGCCUCCAGGUGCAAAGUGGGAAGUGUGAGUCCUCAGUCUUGGGCUAUUCGGCCACGUGCCUGCCGGACAUGGGACGCUGGAGGGUCAGCAGCGUGGAGUCCUGGCCUUUUGCGUCCACGGGUGGGAAAUUGGCCAUUGCCACGGCGGGAACUGGGACUCAGGCUGCCCCCCGGCCGUUUCUCAUCCGUCCACCGGACUCGUGGGCGCUCGCACUGGCGCUGAUGUAGUUUCCUGACCUCUGACCCGUAUUGUCUCCAGAUUAAAGGUACGACAUUUGGAGGCCCCAGCGAGAAACGUCACCGGGAGAAACGUCACCGGGCGAGAGCCGGGCCCGCUGUGUGCUCCCCCGGAAGGACAGCCAGCUUGUAGGGGGGAGUGCCACCUGAAAAAAAAAUUUCCAGGUCCCCAAAGGGUGACCGUCUUCCGGAGGACAGCGGAUCGACUACCAUGUGGGUGCCCACAAAAAUUCCACCUCUGAGUCCUCAACUGCUGACCCCGGGGUCAGUAGACACGGGGUUUCACCAUGUUGGCCAGGCCGGUCUUGAACUUGUGACGUCAGGUGAUGCACCCGCCUUGGCCUCCCAAAGUGCUGGGAUUACAGGUCCAGAUUUUGAACAAAUCUCGCUAGAGAUUGAACAGAGCUGCGCCUGGAUCCCGCCACAGUGAGGAGACCUGAAGACCAGAGAAAACACAGCAAGCCCCUGGAUCCUCCUGGAAUCCCCGAUCCCUCUUGCUCCCUGGCAGAGUUUUCUAGUCCCUCUUACUUGAAGCAUGUCUUUCAGAGCCCGGCACCACCCAUCUUGAGUAUCUGAUACCCCAUCAGCCUGAGUCUCUUAAAGGCCUUUAUACACAUAUGUCUACACAUAGGGAUUUGGAUGAUCUCGGGAUCCCACAUCCUCGCUGUCCCCUGUCCCCCCGCAACAUCCCCCACCAAUACCUUUCUGAAGUUUUCUAGUCCCUCCUUUUUGUUUGUGCUCCUUAAAGCCCAGCCCCAUGCCUGACUUUGGUUCCCAGUGAGCAUUGUACAUUUGUGGAUAUUAAAUCUUUGGCAAAGUCAUUUACCUGGGCUGGA
RNAcentral lists this long non-coding RNA (1078 nucleotides) under Homo sapiens (human). RNAcentral's name for it is "HSALNT0397703". The record is from RNAcentral. Lineage: Eukaryota; Metazoa; Chordata; Mammalia; Primates; Hominidae.